This is a long non-coding RNA of Aphis gossypii (cotton aphid), 1243 nucleotides long. RefSeq lists it as uncharacterized. NCBI's taxonomy places the organism in Eukaryota, Metazoa, Arthropoda, Insecta, Hemiptera, Aphididae. The transcript is spliced from 2 exons. The record is from RefSeq and is a predicted model, not a curated record.
UAUAGUUUUAUCUUUAGAUAUCUUAAGAUGUUUAUUAUUUAUAUUAAAUACUUACCUGCUGGUUAUUGUUUGUGGUUUUAAACCGAAUUAUAUAUUAAGCUCACAAUACAUAAGUCUACACGGUAAUUUAAAUAUCGUUAUUUGACUUAAAUAUUUAAUACAGUUUUGGAAAAGUUAAUACUCGCAGGUAUAUAAUAAUAAUUAUCAUAAGUAUAGUAUACGAAAUGAAAAGAAAAAAUAUCAUAACUCAAUAACUAUAGGGUUUAUAAUAUGUUUUCGGAACAGAAUUCAAUUUUGGAUAGCAACGCGGAAAUCACAUAAUGUUUCAACAAACAAACAAACAUAACGAAAGGGUUUUAAUUUUGGGGGAAAAAAGAUGAAAACAAAAUAUAAUAAUAUGUACUAACUAUUUGUCCCGAAUUUAGCAAAGUUUUAAAAUAACUUACAGCACACGUAAGAAAAAACACAAGAUUGAUCUAUAGAAAACUGAAAACAUAAAUUCUGUAGACAACGUAUUUCUUGUGCUAGAAAAAAUAUAUACUCUUACGCAAACGGCCGUAUUUGAAAUCGUAAUAAAAUUCUAAAACCAGCGGAGUACGGCCAAUUGUAGCGUUUAUUCAACGAAACAUUUCGUCGUAGAAACAUUGAAAACCGACAGAACAAUAGACACUCAACGCACAGCAGCAACAGCAGCAGCAGCAGUCGUAAUAUACAUUGAUGGCUAAACCAAAUUAUCAACAUCACAAUGGCAUAAAAAUAAAAUAUCCUUUUGCCGGAUUCCCGCGUGUUAUUCUGCGAAAAUACUAGGAAAUGAAAUAAUACAUAUAUAUAUAUAAAAGGAACCGAGAAGCCGAAAACGUUCGAAUCCGACAUAAAAAUGAAACGUACGAGUAUACACGCUGCACGCGGGCGUAUACAGACCAGGCGGGUGAGCAGUUUAAAAUAUUAAGUUCUGCGUUUUGUCAGUCGUAUGACGCGUGUGCAAUGCCAUACACACGAUCUUCUACACAUUCAAUCAUAUUAUAAUACAAUAUAUGAACUAGGAUUUCAGUUCACGUUUUUCAAUCCAAUUCCAAUCGUUCAAGCGUACGCUUUAUGUUUGUACCGUCAAAGUAUUUUAAUCAGUUUUCAAUAAAUAAUACAAUGAUCAAAAAUAUAUAUUGCUGGAUUCACGUAAUGCGUUGUAUCAAAUUGUGUAUAUUUUUAUCUUAUUUGUUUUAAUAUAAUUUUUGAAAAUCGUUAA